RNAcentral lists this ribosomal RNA (160 nucleotides) under Caryophanon latum. RNAcentral describes it as "partial 23S ribosomal RNA". It matches the Rfam family "Bacterial large subunit ribosomal RNA", at positions 2767 to 2925 of the family's 2925-position model. The record is from RNAcentral. Lineage: Bacteria; Bacillati; Bacillota; Bacilli; Caryophanales; Caryophanaceae.
AGUGCUGAAAGCAUCUAAGCAUGAAGCCCCCCUCAAGAUGAGAUUUCCCAUUACUCAAGUAAGUAAGACCCCUGAAAGACGAUCAGGUAGAUAGGUUCGAGGUUGAAGUACGGUGACGUAUGGAGCUGACGAAUACUAAUCGGUCGAGGACUUAACCAAA